GACGAACGCUGGCGGCGUGCUUAACACAUGCCAGUCGAACGGAAAGGCCCUGCUUUUGUGGGGUGCUCGAGUGGCGAACGGGUGAGUAACACGUGAGUAACCUGCCCUUGACCUUGGGAUAACUUCAGGAAACUGGGGCUAAUACCGGAUAGGAGCUCCUGCUGCAUGGUGGGGGUUGGAAAGUUUCGGCGGUUGGGGAUGGACUCGCGGCUUAUCAGCUUGUUGGUGGGGUAGUGGCUUACCAAGGCUUUGACGGGUAGCCGGCCUGGGAGGGUGACCGGCCACAUUGGGACUGAGAUACGGCCCAGACUCCUACGGGAGGCAGCAGUGGGGAAUAUUGCACAAUGGGCGGAAGCCUGAUGCAGCAACGCCGCGUGCGGGAUGACGGCCUUCGGGUUGUAAACCGCUUUCGCCUGUGACGAAGCGUGAGUGACGGUAAUGAGUAAAGAAGCACCGGCUAACUACGUG
RNAcentral lists this ribosomal RNA (468 nucleotides) under uncultured bacterium. Its description in RNAcentral is "partial 16S ribosomal RNA". It matches the Rfam family "Bacterial small subunit ribosomal RNA", at positions 28 to 507 of the family's 1533-position model. The record is from RNAcentral.